RNAcentral lists this transfer RNA (77 nucleotides) under Actinomycetota bacterium. RNAcentral's name for it is "Actinobacteria bacterium tRNA-OTHER". Lineage: Bacteria; Bacillati; Actinomycetota. The record is from RNAcentral.
GGCGGGAUAGGUGUAGGUGGUCUUGAAAACCAUUGGCCGGCAACGGCUCGCGGGCUCGCAUCCCGCCUCCUCCGCCA